CCUCUGUGUUACGGGAUGAAUUGAGCGUUGCUGAUAACGCAGCGUUUUUGACGUUAGAGAAGAAAGCCCCAGCUAACUACGUGCCAGCAGCUGCGGAAAACGUAGGGGCAAGCGUUGUCCGGAAUCACUGGGCGUAAAGCGCGCGCAGGCGGUGGAAUAAGUCAGACGUGAAAGGGUUCGGCUCAACCGAGCCAUUGCGUUUGAUACUGUUUCACUUGAGUCUAGAAGAGGAAAGUGGAAUGUAUGGUGUAGCGGUGGAAUGCUUAGAUAUCAUAUAGAACACCCGUGGCGAAGGCGGCUUUCUGGUCUAAGACUGACGCUCAUGCGCGAAAGUUUGGGGAGCAACCGGGAUUAGAUACCCCGCUAGUCCUUACUGUAAACGAUGGGUACUAAGUGUAGGGGGCGCCGACUCCCUCUGUGCUGUAGCUAACGCAUUAAAUUACCCCGCGCUGGGGAGUACGGCCCCCCCCGCUAAAACUUCAAGGUAAUUUGACGGGGGGCCGCACAAGCGAUGGGAUCAUGUUCGCUUUAAUUCGACGCAACGCGAAAAAACCUUAUCCAGGGCUUGACAUC
RNAcentral lists this ribosomal RNA (573 nucleotides) under uncultured Poribacteria bacterium. RNAcentral's name for it is "bacterial SSU rRNA". It matches the Rfam family "Bacterial small subunit ribosomal RNA", at positions 430 to 988 of the family's 1533-position model. The record is from RNAcentral. Lineage: Bacteria; Candidatus Poribacteria.